RNAcentral lists this ribosomal RNA (496 nucleotides) under uncultured bacterium. RNAcentral describes it as "partial 16S ribosomal RNA". It matches the Rfam family "Bacterial small subunit ribosomal RNA", at positions 28 to 506 of the family's 1533-position model. The record is from RNAcentral.
GAUGAACGCUGGCGGCGUGCCUAAUACAUGCAAGUCGAGCGAACAGACGAGGAGCUUGCUCCUCUGACGUUAGCGGCGGACGGGUGAGUAACACGUGGAUAACCUACCUAUAAGACUGGGAUAACUUCGGGAAACCGGAGCUAAUACCCGAUAAUAUGUUGAAUCGCAUGGUUCAACAGUGAAAGACGGUCUUGCUGUCACUUAUAGAUGGAUCCGCGCCGCAUUAGCUAGUUGGUAAGGUAACGGCUUACCAGGGCAACGAUGCGUAGCCGACCUGAGAGGAUGAAGGGCCACACAGUAACUGACAGACGGUACAGGCUAAAACGGGAGGCAGCAGUAGGGAAUCUUCCGCAAUGGUAGAAAGCCUGACGGAGCAACGACGCGUGAGUGAAGAAAAUCUCCGGAUCGUAAAACUCUGUUAUUAGGGAAGAACAAAUGUGUAAGUAACUAUGCACGUCUUGACGGUACCUGAUCAGAAAGCCGCGGCUAACUAAGU